CUACGAGAAAAAAACCGUGGACCGUAAAUUUGUUGAGUUCUCUCUCCUACCUUAGGUGCUUAUCGUGAUAUUUUGGCUUAGAAUUUAAUUUGAAAAUUCUUCCAGGCGCGCCUCAGGAAAAACGUAAAACCCGUUUCUGCUUACUUUUUAGAUCAGAAUGGAUCGUGUAUGGGCCCUGAAGGCGCAGCAUUUGAAGGAGUCAAAGUGGAAGAGGCCUAAAACAUCAGACCAAAUACAACCAAAGUGUUGGGAUGACAUGCCCUGGGAAGAAAUAAGGCGUUCAAAUCGGAGAAAAUAUAUCGAGAACCUCAACAAGAAGUUGCUUAAAUUAUGGCAAAGACGAUCCUAUAGCGAAGGCUUCACCUACCUGUGAUUAGAUUUUAAAAUUGUAUACUCUUUUAGAGUUGGUUUUAUAGCCGAGUUUUAGAUAACACUAUUUGUCCCGUUUUAAUUCCUGGUGGUUUUAUAUAAUUUAAAAUAUGUGGUAUGUCAUUGUUAUAUUAUCAACAAAUUGAAAAGACAAUUUGGCUCGAUCACAUGUUGAGUAAAUGUUUUUAUAUUCGGACCGUAGAUGUUCCCAACGUUAUAGAAUUUUCAUUAAAGAACCUUUAAUCACUUGGAUGUAUCAAAUAGGUAAAAGUCUGCCUAAAUUGGUAUUAUUAUACU
Molecule: long non-coding RNA, 666 nt
Organism: Folsomia candida
Lineage: Eukaryota; Metazoa; Arthropoda; Collembola; Entomobryomorpha; Isotomidae
Exons: 3
Source: RefSeq, a predicted model, not a curated record